CAGCCGCCGCGGGAAUACAGAGGAUUUAAGCGUUAUCCGGAAUGAUUGGGCGUAAAGCGUCUGUAGGUGGCUUUUCAAGUCCGUCGUCAAAUCCCAGGGCUCAACCCUGGACAGGCGGUGGAAACUACCAAGUUGGAGUACGGUAGGGGCAGAGGGAAUUUCCGGUGGAGCAGUGAAAUGCGCAGAUAUCAGGAGGAACACCGAUGGCGAAGGCAGAUCUCUGGGCCGUAACUGACGCUGAGGAGCGAAAGCAUGGGGAGCGAACAGGAUUAGAUACCCCGGUAGUCCCUGUCUCUUAUAC
This 301-nucleotide ribosomal RNA is filed under the name uncultured bacterium. Its description in RNAcentral is "partial 16S ribosomal RNA". It matches the Rfam family "Bacterial small subunit ribosomal RNA", at positions 509 to 807 of the family's 1533-position model. The record is from RNAcentral.